AUAAUUGUGGUAGUUAUUAAUUAAAUGAAAAUGCUCUAAAAUUAUUCUCCCAAAUGCUUUUUAGAUGCCACUUCUCUUUGCUGUGAUCCUUUGUGAUUUCCCCUCCGAUCCUGUAGAUGGAACCAUGCGUCUUUGUUGUGUGCAUGUUUGUACAAAGAACUCGAGGCACACGUUGUUUUAUACAACAAACUAAAUAUUUGACAGCUCGUUGGAAGUAAUACAUACAGUUAUCAGCAGAUUAGAGUUUUAUAUAAAUACUUUUGCCAAAAUGUCGACAGCGUUUUGUUUUCAAGCACAGCUCGUUUCUGUCAUGGACGCGUUAUCAAAAACAGCAGUUUCAGAAAUAAGCAAACUAGUCGACAUCGAAUCAAAGGUUUUAAAAUUAGAAAUAACGCGUGGUCGGAAUGAAAUAGCAACACUUACAGAGAAACUGCAGCUGAUGGAGAAUUUGCUUUGGAUCGAUGGAGGGCACAGGCAGGACGCAACGGCAGAUACACUCACGAAAACGCCAACAAGAAUGAGAGAUGGUUUAAUGAACGGUUAUUGUGAAAUACCUCAGUCUGAGCCCAAAAUACCUGCAAUCAAAAAAAGUGAGAGUUCCUGGGAAAACAUUUGUCCUCCCCAAGAGAUGCACGUCAUCCAUCAGGUUGAAGAUGGUGCUCUUGUUUUGGAAACAGUGCCUACCACAGUGGUGAGAGACCAGCCUGAGUUGAUUGUGAUCAAGGAGGAACCUUCAGAGGUGGACAUAUGGGGUAGUGGGCCAAAGACCGAACUCAUACAUGAAAAUGGAGCAGCAACAUCACUUGAUACAGAUGUUGGGUGUCUCAAUGUGCUUCAGCAUUGUCCAGACAGCUCAGACAACCACCCUAUACUAACUAAGAGCCAAGGGAACCACAGCACUCAGCACUCAUCCGGAGUGCAAUUGGAGGACCUGGACACCCAUUGGACGCCACCUGCAUGUUCACAGAGCCAGGAUGCGCAGCAGAUCACACCUGCUGCACAGAGAAACUCCAUAACUGGAAACAGCUCUGGUGGUAUAACAAAUGUGCCCUCUCAGAGUUUCAGUGUGGCAAAGUCGAACAUGAAGAUCCACAGCCUGAGAACAUCAGGAGCUAAAAGAUUUGGCUGUAUGCAAUGUGGCAAGAACUUCAGGUGUUCUAGUCAGCUGGAAAUACACCAGCGAAGUCACACUGGAGAGAAACCGUACCGAUGCACGCUGUGUGGAAAGAGAUACGCACAGAAAGGGCAUCUUUAUACCCACCAACGCACACACACCGGAGAAAAGCCAUAUCGCUGCCUCGACUGUGGCAAGAGCUUCAUUCAAAAAUGCACUCUCGAUAUGCACCAGCGCACCCACACCGGAGAAAAACCUUAUGUUUGUGUGAAAUGUGGGAAGGGAUUUACUAAAAACUGUAACCUUAAGAAACACAUGGGUGUACAUACAGAGUUUAGCAUGCAUGUUUACAGUGAGUCCAGUUUACAAGAGGACAGAUGGACAAAUAGACCUCAUCCGUACUAGUACCAACCAUAGGCCUACAGCCUCUGCAGCGGAUUUGCUGGACUUCAGUCAUUCAAAGUUUUCCUCAUAAAAUAUUAGUCUCUGCUUUUCAGAAAAAUAAAGCUGUCCUAUUUUUCAACAUUUGCCAGGUCUCUAUUUUGCGCUCUGUCAUUUUUAUUUUAUUCAAAUGUAACCUUUAUUUAACUAGGCAAGCCAGUUAAGAUCAAAUUGUUAUUUACAAUGACGGCUGGGCCAAUUGUGCGCCGCCCUAUGGGACUCCAAAUCACGGCAGGAUGUGAUACAGCCUGGAUAUCGUUUUCCUCAUUUGAAAUCGGGUUUGGAGGUGAAAUAUAGCCCUGAAAGUAACAGCCAAUUGCCAAGGGUAUAGUUUUUUAAUUGGAUCGAAACAUUACCGCAUUGGAUUGUGGGAUAUUUGACCAUAAACUAUGAAUUAAAGCUCAACAAAAAAUGUGUACAUGACCAUUACUUUGUGGGUUUACGGUAAAGAAUCCCACAAUUCAAAGCGGUAAUGUUUAGAAUCGUGAGCGAGAGGUCUAUUCAGAGAUAUUUUUGAGAAGAUGGAAAACUCCAUUGCAUUCGUAUUCCAGCCCAUUGUCUACGCUGCCCAUGCGUCGUCAAUGAGCCGCACGGUGCAUUCUGGGUGAUUCUGAGACAAGGAGAGCGCUCCUUCAAGAAGUGAAUGGGAGUCAAUUGGGCUAGCUCUAAACCCCCAACAUUAGCAUGAAUUUCGACAAGAAGUACCACAUAAAAAAUAUUUUCGGAGAUGUGAGAUAAUUAACUUAUCUGUAAUAUCGUACAGCUUUUGCAUCGUACUUUCGAGGAAAAUAGCCAUACCCCGACUUUGAGAAGGGAUUGCGUGACGAUCAGUUUAGCAACCGCGUGACGCAGCAUGACAACCUAAACGCGAUUGGUCGAAAGUCUGAUGGGUGGGGCUUUAUACAUUCGAAGAUCUUUGCCCAAUAGGAUUCCUAUCUCGUAAUUUCUCUUAUCCCUGGUCUAUUUCAGCUAGCUAGCCACCCAAUCAAUGUCUAUUAUUAAUCAUUUUUAUUAAUAUCGCCAGCCUAUCAUACACGUUGGACUUAGUUUCUUUUUAAAACAAAACCAUGAAUACGAUGAUAAAUCGGGGAAGUUUUCAGAUCCAGUUAGCUUCCAUUAUGGAAAUGCUAAGCAAAGCUGCUGUGGUUGAAAUCGGUAAACUUGUCGACGAGUGCUCGUCCGUUCUCCGUUCUGAAAUAUCCCAACACAUGAAUGAGAACGAGGCAUUAAAGAAGAAAUGUUAUCUGCUAGAGAUUGAAUUAAAGACGGUAAAACUGCACGAGCGUAAAAGGGUCAUUGCCAGCCGUUGUCAGAAUGGAGUUCAGGUCUCGGGACAAAUAUUUACGCAUCGAGCAACAGAGAACCGAGCUUCUAUUCAUCUUCCCAGUAGACAACUCUGCAAGCAUGUAUGUACUUCCAAAAACGGUCUAAAUAAAAAUGUAUAAGCAACCGGACACUUUUUUUCUAUGUAGUGUUUUUGACCGGAAGAGCUACCAAUAGGCACCUCUUCUGGUCAAAAAACAAUACUUAAUUUUUUUCCGGUUGCUUGUCAAUUUUUAUUUAGGCCUUUUUUGGAAGUACAUACCGGGCGUAACAGCAGUAAAUGGCGAUAGUUGCAGGCAGGGCAGGCAUAUUUGAGAAGCAGUCUGCCCCCGCGAUAGAGAGUGUCUUUGGUAAGGACUGGUGCAUGGAUCUAUGGAGAGAUGGGGAGUCAAUCCCUCAGGAUAAAGAGACAACAAUUGGAUCUGCCAUCUUGGGCGAUGAUGAGGUCACUCAGGCAAUAGACUUGGUGGACAAUGAGCCUGACUUGGUGUUUAUCAAAGAAGAGCUGUUUGAGGAUCAGCCAGUGGACCAGCAGAGGGGACAUGCAAGCAACAGAAAAAGGAGCGUAGCUGUGGAGGAUGCUCCAGCAGUGGAGCGAGCAGCUGCCAGUCAACUUCACCUAUACAAGGGGGACUUAAACACAUACCCUGCAGGCAGCCAUCAGGUACAGCCUGACACAGAGCAGCCCACAUCCAUUGAGAGCCUCAUGGAAGACCCCACUCUGGCUGGUCUGGUUGACCACACAGAGCCUGGCCCGGUUGACCACACAGAGCCUGGCCCUUGACACAGCCAAUGGGAUGUACAUGGACUAUCCUCCCCGCAACACAUACGCACCAAGAAACCGGCCAAGCCACCAGCAGGGAACUGGAAAAGACCUGAAGCAGCAGUUUGACUGUUUGUUUUGUGGGAAGAGCUUUGGUUAUUUGAGCUACUUGAAAGUCCAUAUCAGACGCCACUCUGGAGAGAAACCGUUUGGCUGCACCGUUUGCGGGAAGCGCUUCGCUCAGAAGACGUACCUGAAGCUGCAUCAGCGUACACACUCUGGGGAGAAACCUUACAGUUGCACAGAGUGUGGGAAGAGUUUCUCUCAGAAGAGCUCGCUGAAUGUCCACCUCCGGAGUCACACCGGGGAGAAGCCUUAUAGCUGUGUCGACUGUGGGAAGAGCUACACCUAUAAACACGGUUUUAACACACACCAAUGUUUCAAAUAAUUUACAUUUCAACCUUGUUUUGAAAACUGAAACAUCUUUAGCCGUAUUGUAAUCAUGGUGGUUUUCAGUAGGUAGAUUUUUUUUUAAAGUUAACUGUUUUGCGCUACUGUGUGCCCUAAUGAACAUGACCAAGCUGUUACUCUUCACUACAUGGCAGAACUGCUCCAUUCAAGUUUUCCCUCCUGCUCUGUCUGUAGGAUUGCACACACACACACACUGCCUUCUUGUCACACAAUUGGCAAUAGACUAGAUGCCCCACUGUUAGAUGAAGACAUUUUUGAAGUAUUUCUAAAGACAUGUACUGUUUGUGCUAAACAGUGGUAGUCCUGAUACCAGUUGUUUGUGCUACUGUGAAGAAUGCCAGUGUGGUAGACCGGUCACGUAAACGUGUGCCAAAUAAUUUUCUGUAAUGAAUUAAACGGGUACAGUAAUACAUUUACUUAUUUGUACUCACAUUACAUUUGUAUUCCAUAUGUUAUAAAAAUGUAAACAUGGCAAUGAUUAAAUGAUUGAAAUGUUA
Non-coding RNA from Salmo salar (Atlantic salmon), 4609 nucleotides. Lineage: Eukaryota; Metazoa; Chordata; Actinopteri; Salmoniformes; Salmonidae. The record is from RefSeq and is a predicted model, not a curated record.